This is a long non-coding RNA of Ictalurus punctatus (channel catfish), 308 nucleotides long. The record is from Ensembl. Lineage: Eukaryota; Metazoa; Chordata; Actinopteri; Siluriformes; Ictaluridae.
GAAUUUCCACUCUGUUGUGGAUUUUAUUAUGAAAAAGAAGAACUGUACUUCUGGCGGAUAUGACGUCAGGCAGGAGGCGCUCUCGUGAUGUGUACAGUGUAAUGAUAGUAGUAAGCUGUAACCUUUCACGCGCGCGAGCGUGUGUGUGGAAUUAAAAGUUACCUGGAUAAAUGCUCACAGCUCCAGUUCACCUGUAAGUAAGACUGUGCUCGUGACAGAAACUCCACCAUGAGGCGGAAUAAAGACUCCAACUGUGUGGAAGAGUUGUCCCCCGAUCACAACGGUGUGAUUCAGACCAUCUACAGCUC